GAUGAACGCUGGCGGCGUGCCUAAUACAUGCAAGUCGAGCGAACAGACGAGGAGCUUGCUCCUCUGACGUUAGCGGCGGACGGGUGAGUAACACGUGGAUAACCUACCUAUAAGACUGGGAUAACUUCGGGAAACCGGAGCUAAUACCGGAUAAUAUAUUGAACCGCAUGGUUCAAUAGUGAAAGACGGUUUUGCUGUCACUUAUAGAUGGGUCCGCGCCGCAUUAGCUAGUUGGUAAGGUAACGGCUUACCAAGGCGACGAUGCGUAGCCGACCUGAGAGGGUGAUCGGCCACACUGGAACUGAGACACGGUCCAGACUCCUACGGGAGGCAGCAGUAGGGAAUCUUCCGCAAAGGGCGAAAGCCUGACGGAGCAACGCCGCGUGAGUGAUGAAGGUCUUCGGAUCGUAAAACUCUGUUAUUAGGGAAGAACAAAUGUGUAAGUAACUAUGCACGUCUUGACGGUACCUAAUCAGAAAGCCACGGCUAACUACGUG
This 497-nucleotide ribosomal RNA is filed under the name uncultured bacterium. RNAcentral describes it as "partial 16S ribosomal RNA". It matches the Rfam family "Bacterial small subunit ribosomal RNA", at positions 28 to 507 of the family's 1533-position model. The record is from RNAcentral.